Molecule: ribosomal RNA, 468 nt
Filed under: uncultured bacterium
Lineage: Bacteria
Description: partial 16S ribosomal RNA
Rfam family: Bacterial small subunit ribosomal RNA
Source: RNAcentral
GACGAACGCUGGCGGCGUGCCUAAUACAUGCAAGUCGAACGGACAGGCCCGGCUCUUGUGGCUUUCUCGAUAGGCGAACGGGUGUGUAUCACGCGAGUAACCCGCACCUGUCUUUGGGGUAACUCCAGGAAAAUCGGGCUCAUACCCGAUAUGAUCUCCUGCAGCACGGUGGGGGUUGGUAAGUUUCGGCGGUUGGGGCUCGACUCGCGGCUUAUCCGCUUGUUUGUGUGGUAGUGGCUUACCAAGGCUUUGACGGAUAGCCGGCCUGAGAGGGUGACCGGCCACAUUGCGCCUGAGAGACGGCCCAGACUCCUACGGGAGGCAACAGUGGGGAAUAUGGCACAGUGGGCGGAAGCCUGAUGCAGCAGCGCCGCGAGCGGAAAAACGACCUACGGGGUAUGAACCGCUUUGGACUGUGACGAGGCGUGCGUGACGGUAAUGGGUAAGGAAGCACCGGCUAACUACGUG